RNAcentral lists this small nucleolar RNA (79 nucleotides) under Capronia coronata CBS 617.96. Its description in RNAcentral is "A. fumigatus snoRNA Afu_294". It matches the Rfam family "A. fumigatus snoRNA Afu_294". Lineage: Eukaryota; Fungi; Ascomycota; Eurotiomycetes; Chaetothyriales; Herpotrichiellaceae. The record is from Rfam by way of RNAcentral.
UUUUCUGAUGAUCUCAUGUAUUCGCUGUGUUCUUACUGAAUUCUAUGUUGAAUAAUACAUCACCUUGGAGAACUGACAU